UACAGGCAGGGAGCGAGAAAGAGAAAGAAAAAAUAGUGGAGAGGGGGAGGAAUUAAAAAAUGGGGGCAGGGAGCCAGACAGAGUGCGACGGGGAGAGACCAAAAUUAGCAAUUCUGGGCAACUGCCCCCAUUUCUUGAGCACUCCCCAGGAAAUGCAUUACCGGGAGCCUCAAGGAAUGUGCUGCCUGCCAAAGCCCUGCCCUGGCCCCAGUCCUGUGCCCUAGUAUUGGUGACGAGCAUUGCCUUGCAUAGUGGCCAGGACUGAGGGAAGAAAAGGACAGCUGGGGGGAAAAAAAUCACCGAGCUGGGUUUUGGUUUUGUUUUGGUUUUUUUUUUCUUGAUGGUUUUGCUUUUAAAAAGAAUAGUAUUUAAGCUCUAAAUACAAACUGCAAGGAAAAAGGAACCAGGCGUACCAGUCUGGACACAUUUAAAGCCUGAACCCAUUCAACAGCUGCACCACCCACCACUCCUGCUGCCCACACUCCACCGCCUGCCUGCAGGCUGGGUUAAAGACUCAUCCAUCAAGUGCUGGCUCAGGACCAUGCCGGGGCAAAUGGCACUGCUUUUCUGGAUCCCAUGGCAGCGAUGGGCAAAGGAACAGGGAGACCCAGUGGAGUCGUAGCGUGCGCUGGAGAGUGUUCUUCAGGAAGGUGACAGCCGAUUGCAGAGCAACGCUGAGACGCACCUGACAGCAAAGGUGCCCGGUGGCCACGGACGAGCCUAGGAAGCAUGGCAUGCACCAAGCACACCCAGAGCUGCGCCCGUGCCAGGAGAAGACUUCAAGCACAGGCGGGGCUGAUGGCAACAGUUCCCACCAGCUGUCCAGCUCCAGAAGAUGCAGAAAGGAAAUUCAGUCUUAGACAUUCAGUUGCAGAAGAAAGUUU
Long non-coding RNA from Harpia harpyja (harpy eagle), 884 nucleotides. RefSeq lists it as uncharacterized. The record is from RefSeq and is a predicted model, not a curated record. NCBI's taxonomy places the organism in Eukaryota, Metazoa, Chordata, Aves, Accipitriformes, Accipitridae. The transcript is spliced from 5 exons.